RNAcentral lists this ribosomal RNA (689 nucleotides) under Septoglomus deserticola. RNAcentral describes it as "partial large subunit ribosomal RNA". It matches the Rfam family "Eukaryotic large subunit ribosomal RNA", at positions 89 to 626 of the family's 3401-position model. Lineage: Eukaryota; Fungi; Glomeromycota; Glomeromycetes; Glomerales; Glomeraceae. The record is from RNAcentral.
GCGAGUGAAGAGGGACAAGCUCAAAUUUUAAAUCUGUGUUUACACAGAAUUGUAAUUUGAAGAAACGUUUUCUGUGUCUUGAUUUAACUUAAAUCUUUUGGAAUGAGGUAUCAUGGAGGGUGACAAUCCCGUUCAUGGUUUUAUUCAAGAUAUCUUAUGAAACGUUUUCGAAGAGUCGAGUUGUUUGGGAUUGCAGCUCAAAAUGGGAGGUAAAUUUCUCCUAAGGCUAAAUAUUGGCGAGAGACCGAUAGCGAACAAGUACCGUGAGGGAAAGAUGAAAAGAACUUUGAAAAGAGAGUUAAACAGUACGUGAAAUUGUUGAAAGGGAAACGAUUGAAGUCAGUCAUACCAACGGGAAAUCAACCUUUUGAGUAUGAAUUUUUUGGAGCUUUAAAGAGUUUCAAAACCUUUGGGUUUCAUUAUUUGUGCUUUUUUGGCGUACUUUCUCGUACGGUAGGUUAACAUCGAUUUUGAACGUUAUAAAAUGACUGGAGGAAUGUAGCUUCGAUCUCGUAUUGAAGUGUUAUAGCCUUUAGUAAAUGUAAUGGUCAAGAUCGAGGAUUGCAACGAAUACCCUUUUGGGCUAUCCGUCUGAUCUCUGAUACGUGACCUUGGUAUUGAAAGCGUGCUUAUGAUAUUGAGGUAUUACGGUCAAAAGGUUAGAACGUGAUUACAUUCGUUAAGGAUGU